Molecule: transfer RNA, 73 nt
Filed under: Planctomycetota bacterium
Lineage: Bacteria; Pseudomonadati; Planctomycetota
Description: Planctomycetes bacterium (sediment metagenome) tRNA-Thr
Rfam family: tRNA
About the family: Transfer RNA (tRNA) molecules are approximately 80 nucleotides in length.
Source: RNAcentral
GCUGGCGUAGCUCAGCCGGUAGAGCACGUCCUUGGUAAGGACGAGGUCACGGGUUCAAGUCCCGUCGCCAGCU